UGGGGAAUAUUGCACAAUGGAGGGAACUCUGAUGCAGCGACGCCGCGUGAGUGAUGAAGGAAUUCGUUUCGUAAAACUCUGUUCUAUGGGAAGAAAAGGACUGUACCAUAGGAGAAAGCUCCGGCUAAAUACGUGCCAGCAGCCGCGGUAAUACGUAUGGAGCGAGCGUUGUCCGGAAUUAUUGGGCGUAAAGGGUGCGCAGGCGGCUUUACAAGUUGGAUGUGAAAUAGUGUGGCUCAACCACAAACGUGCAUCCAAAACUGCAAAGCUCGAGUUAAGGAGAGGUAAGUGGAAUUCCUGGUGUAGCGGUGGAAUGCGUAGAUAUCAGGAGGAAUACCGGUGGCGAAGGCGACUUACUGGACUUAAACUGACGCUCAGGCACGAAAGCGUGGGGAGCAAACAGG
This 404-nucleotide ribosomal RNA is filed under the name Fusobacteriota bacterium. RNAcentral describes it as "Fusobacteria bacterium partial 16S ribosomal RNA". It matches the Rfam family "Bacterial small subunit ribosomal RNA", at positions 355 to 776 of the family's 1533-position model. The record is from RNAcentral. Lineage: Bacteria; Fusobacteriati; Fusobacteriota.